RNAcentral lists this long non-coding RNA (247 nucleotides) under Carassius auratus (goldfish). RNAcentral's name for it is "lncRNA (ENSCARG00000051732.1)". The record is from RNAcentral. Lineage: Eukaryota; Metazoa; Chordata; Actinopteri; Cypriniformes; Cyprinidae.
UUGUGUUCACUCUAGAGCCCUUCCAUUCUCAAAUCAUUAUGUUACGGCAUUAUCCGUGUGGAGAUAAUAUCCUCUUGGGCAAUCAGUCACUGGCUUGAGGCUUAUCGCUGUGUUUAAAGGGGUUCUGUGUUCUGUCACAGAGGCAGGAGGCCAUAAACACAUAUGAGCAUCUCCCUCACUGUCAAGGCUUUCUGAGUUGUAAUUGGCUGAGAGCUGCACUGUCAGCUGAUUGGCCGGGCUGAGGAUG